UAGGGAAUAUUAGUAAUGGGCGCAAGCCUGAACUAGCAACGCCGCGUGUGCGAGGAAGGCCUUCGGGUUGUAAAGCACUUUUUGAGAGGAUGAGGAAGGACGGUACUCUCAGAAUAAGUCUCGGCUAACUACGUGCCAGCAGCCGCGGUAACACGUAGGAGGCGAACGUUAUCCGGAUUUACUGGGCGUAAAGCACAUGUAGGUGGUUUGGUAAGUAGGGCGUGAAAGCUCCUGGCUCAACUGGGAGAGGCCGUUCUAAACUGCCGAACUAGAGGAUGGUAGAGGGAGGUGGAAUUCCGGGUGUAGCGGUGGAAUGCGCAGAUAUCCGGAGGAACACCAGUGGCGAAAGCGGCCUCCUGGACCAUUCCUGACACUCAGACGCGAAAGCUAGGGUAGCAAACGG
RNAcentral lists this ribosomal RNA (403 nucleotides) under uncultured bacterium. RNAcentral's name for it is "bacterial SSU rRNA". It matches the Rfam family "Bacterial small subunit ribosomal RNA", at positions 355 to 775 of the family's 1533-position model. The record is from RNAcentral.